This 290-nucleotide signal recognition particle RNA is filed under the name Carlito syrichta (Philippine tarsier). RNAcentral describes it as "Metazoan signal recognition particle RNA (ENSTSYG00000033873.1)". It matches the Rfam family "Metazoan signal recognition particle RNA". From Rfam's summary of the family: The signal recognition particle (SRP) is a universally conserved ribonucleoprotein. It is involved in the co-translational targeting of proteins to membranes. The eukaryotic SRP consists of a 300-nucleotide 7S RNA and six proteins: SRPs 72, 68, 54, 19, 14, and 9. Lineage: Eukaryota; Metazoa; Chordata; Mammalia; Primates; Tarsiidae. The record is from RNAcentral.
AGGAGCAAGCAUGUACCUAUAAUCCCAGCUUCUAGGGCUGAGGUGAGAGGAUCACUUGAGCCCAGGAGUCCAGGACUGUAGUGUUCUAUGCUGUUUGGUUGUCUGUAUUAAGUUUGGCAUCAUUAUAGUGACCUCCUGGUAGUGGGAGACUACAAGGUUGCCUAAGGAGGGGUGAAGCAGCCCAGGUUGGAAAUGGAGCAGGUCAAAAUGCCUGUGCUGAGCAGUAGUGCAAUGCGACUGUGAAUAGUCACUGCACUAUACCCUGGGCAACGUAACAAGACCCAAUCUCU